Molecule: ribosomal RNA, 289 nt
Filed under: uncultured bacterium
Lineage: Bacteria
Description: partial 16S ribosomal RNA
Rfam family: Bacterial small subunit ribosomal RNA
Source: RNAcentral
UGCCCUACGGGGGGCAGCAGUGAGGAAUAUUGGUCAAUGGACGAGAGGCUGAACCAGCCAAGUAGCGUGAGGGAAGACGGCCCUACGGGUUGUAAACUUCUUUUGUAGGGGAGCAAAACAAGGCACGUGUGACUUAUUGAAAGUACCAGAAGAAAAAGCAUCGGCUAACUCCGUGCCAGCAGCCGCGGUAAUACGGAGGAUGCGAGCGUUAUCCGGAUUUAUUGGGUUUAAAGGGAGCGCAGGCGGAGGGGUAAGUCAGCGGUGAAAUUGCGGGGCUCAACCGCGAAAU